GAGAGAGAGAGAGAGAGAGUGGGGGAUGUUAAAAGCAGUGAGGAGGGGGGAACAUGUAUGGCCUACAAUCUUGCAGUUGUUGCAAAUAGCCAUACUAACCACUAAAGUUAUAACUACUAAAGUGAUAAGAUUUGGAGUUAGGUAUUUUCUGGUUCUUCACUGUUGUUUAAAUGGGGGCUUGUGGGCACCAGAAGAGAGUGAUUGCUAUCCUGGCUGGGUAGUGCAGGAUGAUCAUGAUGAUGGGACCAACUUAAUGCCAUUCUGCUUCCUCUGAUUGUUUUCCAUUCAUUCUCUUCUCUACUUAACAACAAAAUUAUAUAAAUUAAGCCCGAAUCACACACUGAUUUUACCUAAACCUAUUUUGACUUGUGCUCUUCCCUAUGCUUAGUUUACAAAUUCAUUUACCACUUUUUAGAUGAAUAGAUGACAGAUAACAAGCAUUUGCCCCACG
RNAcentral lists this unclassified non-coding RNA (451 nucleotides) under Hevea brasiliensis (rubber tree). Lineage: Eukaryota; Viridiplantae; Streptophyta; Magnoliopsida; Malpighiales; Euphorbiaceae. The record is from RNAcentral.